CUAGCAUGACCUCUGACAUGCACUUCCUGGUUACUUCCUGGUUUGUCACUUACAUAAGCACAUAGAGUCUAUCCCAAUUCCAAGUUUGGUAGUAUGCGCUGAGCGGAUAGUUGAUCGGAUCCACCUAAUACUGCAGGUAGUCUUGUCUAGACAAAUCGGUAGCCCAGGCAUCAAGGACCAGCAGGAUUCGUGUCUGGAUUCGCCUAGCAGACCAGUCAGACCGAUUUUUAGGUUCUUCUCUCUGGCUGCUCGGAUUUUGGUCUUCAGCGAUGCUGGCUAAGUAAUGUCGAACAAUGCAGCGGCUGGGGAACUGAUCUGUUGCUACUGGCAACAGGGGAGGCGAAGGAAUCCAUGGCAACAAGCUCCAGCGCUCUCCGUUGCCUUCAGUCGUCCACAUCCAUUUCGAAUCGACCCAAAAUUCAGGAUGUUCUACAGUAGGUGAG
Long non-coding RNA from Ictalurus punctatus (channel catfish), 443 nucleotides. NCBI's taxonomy places the organism in Eukaryota, Metazoa, Chordata, Actinopteri, Siluriformes, Ictaluridae. The record is from Ensembl.